Molecule: small nuclear RNA, 296 nt
Filed under: Octodon degus (degu)
Lineage: Eukaryota; Metazoa; Chordata; Mammalia; Rodentia; Octodontidae
Description: 7SK RNA (ENSODEG00000025747.1)
Rfam family: 7SK RNA
About the family: 7SK was discovered as an abundant small nuclear RNA in the mid-70s but a possible function has only recently been suggested. Two independent studies have found that 7SK RNA binds the CDK9/cyclin T complex (known as elongation factor P-TEFb). P-TEFb activates transcription by phosphorylating the C-terminal domain of RNA polymerase II.
Source: Rfam by way of RNAcentral
GGAUGUGAAAGUGACCUGGUUGCCACUUCGAUCACUCAAUUGCCAGGGUUGAUUCAGCUGACCUGGCUGGUGAGGCAGGUGUCCCUUUCCUCCCUCACUGCUUCACAUAUUUUCCUCCUAAAGCUGCAUGUUGGUCCCCAGUGGAAGAGGAUCAUUUUCUAGUCAAGGGUUUAUGAGUAGCUGUGCUUCCCUACUAGACCUCCAAAGGGGCUCUCAUGUAUCAGUUGAGUGACCCUGGCAACUUACUUUGCCCUUCCAUGCCUCAGUUUCCUCACUCUAAAACACAGAAAUGACAU